This is a long non-coding RNA of Lagenorhynchus albirostris (white-beaked dolphin), 1006 nucleotides long. RefSeq lists it as uncharacterized. The record is from RefSeq and is a predicted model, not a curated record. Lineage: Eukaryota; Metazoa; Chordata; Mammalia; Artiodactyla; Delphinidae. The transcript is spliced from 3 exons.
UCCGGCCCAAGGGCCGCAAGCCGCGAAGGGGGCCGGGGCCCCGCGAAAACCGCAGGAAGCGCCCCGAGAACGUGCAGGAGGCCGCGACCCAGCCCCGGCCCGGCUCCCUCAUUCAAGCUGCCUUCCCUUCCCCCUUCUCCAAUCCCAUGCGGUCCUGGCCCCCAGCCGCCGCGCGUCUUCGGCCCACCCUCCACCCCGGCCCUCCGCGCGGCGGGCCGAGCCCCUGGGACGCCGGAGCGCCAAGAUGUAAGGUAGAGCAGCGCCCUUACCUGAGCUCCCCCGGGUUGAAUCGCUCACCGUCCCCCCCGUCCCCGCCACGCUCCGCCAUUACAGAGGGCCGCGUUCUUCCACCCGCCGCCUCAGCGUUCCCUAUUGGCCGGGCGGAUCGUCAAUCUCGCGCGAGAGAGGCGGAGAUAGCAGAGAUCUGUGAAAUGACUGGUCAGACUUUCUAUCAAUCCUCGAGCUGAGGAUGGUAUCUGCCUUAUUAUUGGUGAAAGGGCCCGCCGACUUUGAAAGCGGUAUGGAGACAGCCAGUUGAUUGGUCGCUCGGAGGCUUUAUGGUAAACGAGACUUCAGCAACGGGGAACUGCCGGCGCCCUCUCGCGGCCAUGCCGACAGUCUCCCUUCGCUGGCGCUGUUUUCCGCCAGCCCUCUUUCAUGCCUGACCUCGCGAGAUGCACAUGUGCUCUACCUCCUCCAGGGCACCUCACCUGACAGAUUGCUGGUUCCCCCGACUGCCCCAGAGCAGGAGCUAUUUAAAAGGGGAUGUUUCAAUGCUGCAAUACCAAGAAGUAAGCAAGCAAUAUCGAAGGACUGCUGCAGCUUCUCUGUCACAGGUUGCCUGGGUUUGGAUCCUGGAUCUGCCUUUUACCUGCUGCAUAAUUUGGGACAAUUUAUUUCCACUCCUUGUGCCAAAGUUUCCCCAUCUUAAAAUGGGAAUAAUAAUUGUAUCUCCGCAGAGUUUCUGUGGGGGUUAAAUGAAUGUAAGCCCAUUUAAAGUGUUUAG